RNAcentral lists this ribosomal RNA (117 nucleotides) under Paramormyrops kingsleyae. The record is from RNAcentral. Lineage: Eukaryota; Metazoa; Chordata; Actinopteri; Osteoglossiformes; Mormyridae.
UUGAGCAGCCAAACCACCUGCAGUUCAGACCAGGUACUCCAUAUGAAGCUAAGCAGGUUUGGGCCCGGCCAGUACUUAGAUAGGAGACCAACUAAGAAAGCUGGGUUACUGCUGGGA